Molecule: ribosomal RNA, 506 nt
Filed under: uncultured bacterium
Lineage: Bacteria
Description: partial 16S ribosomal RNA
Rfam family: Bacterial small subunit ribosomal RNA
Source: RNAcentral
GAUGAACGCUAGCUACAGGCUUAACACAUGCAAGCCGAGGGGUAACGAGAGGAAAGCUUGCUUUCCUUGUCGACGACCGGCGCACGGGUGAGUAACGCGUAUCCAACCUGCCCCCAACUAGGGAAUAACCUUGCGAAAGUAAGACUAAUACCCUAUAAUUUCCUCAGAUGUCAUCUGACGUGGAAUAAAGAUUUAUCGGUUGUGGAUGGGGAUGCGUCUGAUUAGCUUGUUGGCGGGGUAACGGCCCACCAAGGUAACGAACAGUAGGGGUUCUGAGUGGAAGGUCCCCCACAUUGGAACUGGGACACGGUCCAAACUCCUACGGGAGGCAGCAGUGAGGAAUAUUUGUCAAUGGGCGGAGGCCUGAACCAGCCAAGUAGCGUGCAGGAUGACGGCCCUAUGGGUUGUAAACUGCUUUUAUACAGGAAUAAAGUUAGCCACGUGUGGUUACUUGUAGGUACUGUAUGAAUAAGGACCGGCUAAUUCCGUGCCAGCCGCCGCCGUAA